UACGGAGGGUGCGAGCGUUAAUCGGAAUUACUGGGCGUAAAGCGUGCGUAGGCGGUUUGAUAAGUCGGGUGUGAAAGCCCCCGGCUCAACUGGGGAGGGUCACGCGAUACUGAUCGACUCGAAGGCAGGAGAGGGUAGUGGAAUUCCCGGUGUAGUGGUGAAAUGCGUAGAUAUCGGGAGGAACACCAGUGGCGAAGGCGACUACCUGGCCUGUUCUUGACGCUGAGGCGCGAAAGCUAGGGGAGCAAACGGG
RNAcentral lists this ribosomal RNA (253 nucleotides) under uncultured bacterium. RNAcentral's name for it is "partial 16S ribosomal RNA". It matches the Rfam family "Bacterial small subunit ribosomal RNA", at positions 524 to 776 of the family's 1533-position model. The record is from RNAcentral.